This 775-nucleotide ribosomal RNA is filed under the name uncultured Neocallimastigales. Its description in RNAcentral is "partial large subunit ribosomal RNA". It matches the Rfam family "Eukaryotic large subunit ribosomal RNA", at positions 22 to 637 of the family's 3401-position model. Lineage: Eukaryota; Fungi; Neocallimastigomycota; Neocallimastigomycetes; Neocallimastigales. The record is from RNAcentral.
CUAUACAUGACUCUGCGCAUAUCAAUAAGCGGAGGAAAAGAAACUAACAAGGAUUCCCCUAGUAACGGCGAGUGAAGCGGGAAGAGCUCAAAUUUGAAAUCUUAAAGGGUUUCCCUUUACGAAUUGUAGUUUAAAGAAGUGUUUUCUGUUGAGGUUUUGGUAAAAGUUCUUUGGAAUAGGACAUCAUAGAGGGUGAGAAUCCCGUAUUUGACCUUUACUUUCAACUUUGUGAUACACUUUCAGAGAGUCGGAUUGUUUGGGAAUGCAGUCCAAAAUGGGUGGUAAAUUUCAUCUAAAGCUAAAUAUUGGCGAGAGACCGAUAGCGAACAAGUACCGUGAGGGAAAGAUGAAAAGAACUUUGAAAAGAGAGUUAAACAGUACGUGAAAUUGUCAAAAGGGGAAGCGUUUGACACCAGUGUUGUUUUUCUGAAAAUCAAUUAAAGAACUGUUUAUGCUAAGCUGUUUAGACUUUAUCAGCUAACUGUUUAGUUUUGAGCUUUUCUUUAAUGCACUUUUCAGUUAACAAGUCAACAUCAAUUUCUUUUGCUGUAAAAAAGCUUGAGGAAGGUGGCUUGAGAUUCGUCUUAAGUGUUUAUAGCCUCUUGCCUAUGCAGUCGGAGAGAUUGAGGUCUGCAGCGUAGAUCCUUCGGGGCUAAAUGCAUUUGUGCUAAGUUAUAGCAUUUUAUAGACAACUUGUUGACUAUGAUUUGUCUUGUAGCUUACUCGCUUAUGUUAUUUUACCUACGCUUAGGAUGUUGACAGCAGUAUAGACUGU